CCGAGUUACAACUCCCAAACCCCUGUGAACAUACCUAUCGUUGCUUCGGCGGAUCCGCCCCGGCGCCCUCGGGCCCGGAUCAGGCGCCCGCCGGAGACCCCAAACUCUUGUAUUUCUUUAGUAUCUUCUGAGUAAACAAGCAAAUAAAUUA
This 151-nucleotide unclassified non-coding RNA is filed under the name soil metagenome. RNAcentral's name for it is "partial internal transcribed spacer 1". The record is from RNAcentral.